Molecule: ribosomal RNA, 654 nt
Filed under: uncultured bacterium
Lineage: Bacteria
Description: bacterial SSU rRNA
Rfam family: Bacterial small subunit ribosomal RNA
Source: RNAcentral
CGCGGCCUAUCAGCUUGUUGGCGAGGUCACGGCUCACCAAGGCGACGACGGGUAGCUGGUCUGAGAGGAUGGCCAGCCACAUUGGGACUGAGAAACGGCCCAGACUCCUCCGGGAGGCAGCAGUGGGGAAUCUUGCGCAAUGGACGAAAGUCUGACGCAGCGACGCCGCGUGGGGGAUGACGGGUUUCGGCUUGUAAACCCCUGUUGCCCGGGACGAACCGCCUUUUUCGAGAGGCUUGACGGUACCGGGUGAGGAAGCACCGGCUAACUCCGUGCCAGCAGCCGCGGUAAUACGGAGGGUGCGAGCGUUGUCCGGAAUCACUGGGCGUAAAGGGCGCGUAGGUGGCGCGGCAAGUCAACGGUGAGAGCUCGACGCUCAACGUCGAGUCGGCCGUCGAUACUGCCGCGCUGGAGCACUGUAGAGGCUCAUGGAAUUCCGGGUGUAGCGGUGGAAUGCGUAGAGAUCCGGAAGAACACCGGUGGCGAAGGCGGUGAGCUGGGCAGUUGCUGACACUGAGGCGCGACAGCGUGGGGAGCAAACAGGAUUAGAUACCCUGGUAGUCCACGCCGUAAACGAUGGGCACUAAGUGCUUGGGGGAGCGACCCUCUGAGUGCCGACGCUAACGCAUUAAGUGCCCCGCCUGGGGAGUACGG